UACGUAGGGUGCGAGCGUUAAUCGGAAUUACUGGGCGUAAAGCGUGCGCAGGCGGUGAUGUAAGACCGAUGUGAAAUCCCCGGGCUUAACCUGGGAACUGCAUUGGUGACUGCAUCGCUCGAGUAUGGCAGAGGGGGGGUAGAAUUCCACGUGUAGCAGUGAAAUGCGUAGAGAUGUGGAGGAAUACCGAUGGCGAAGGCAGCCCCCUGGGUCAAUACUGACGCUCAUGCACGAAAGCGUGGGGAGCAAACAGG
RNAcentral lists this ribosomal RNA (254 nucleotides) under uncultured bacterium. Its description in RNAcentral is "partial 16S ribosomal RNA". It matches the Rfam family "Bacterial small subunit ribosomal RNA", at positions 524 to 776 of the family's 1533-position model. The record is from RNAcentral.